Molecule: small RNA, 629 nt
Filed under: Pongo abelii (Sumatran orangutan)
Lineage: Eukaryota; Metazoa; Chordata; Mammalia; Primates; Hominidae
Description: processed transcript
Source: RNAcentral
CGGCAACCUCUGCCUCCCAAGCAGCUGGGACUACAGGAAUGCUCCACAGUGCCCAGUUAAUUUUUUUUGUAUUCUUAGUAGAGACAGGGUUUCACCAUGUUGGCCAGGCUAAUCUCGAAUUUCUGACCUCAAGUGAUCCACCUCCCAAAGUGCUGGGAUUACAGGCGUGAGCCACCACGGCCGGCUAAUUUUUGUAUUUUUUGGUAGUGACUGGUUUCGCGGUGUUGGCCAGGCUGGGCUCGAACUCCUGAUCUCAGGCGGAUCACCUGAGGUCAGGAGUUGGAGACCAGCCUGGCCAACAUGCUGAAACCCUGUCUGUACAAAAAUACAAAAAUAGCUGGGCAUGGUGGCGCAUGCCUGUAGUCCCAGCUACUCGAGCGACUGAGGCAGGAGAAUCGCUUCAACCUAGGAGGCGGAGGUUGCAGGGAGCCAAGAUGGCGCCACCGCACUCCAGCCUAGGUGAUAGAGUGAGACUCCCUCUCAAAAACAAAACAAAACAAAAAAAUUAGAUAAAUGCUACAUUAAUGUUUGGGUGGUCAGAUUCUACUUUGAAGUCUGAAGUUUGCAGAUAUGCCUAUAGAUUUUUGGAGUUUACCACUUUCUUAUUCUGUAUCAUUAAUGUAAUAUUU